AUAUUAAGGAACAUUAUAUGUGUUCUCUCUCUCUCUCUCUCUCUCUCUCUCUGUGUGUGUGUGUGUGUGAGAGAGAGAGAGAGAGAGAGAGAGAGAGAGAGAGAAUGUAUGCAAUUUGUUGAUGGC
Non-coding RNA from Podarcis lilfordi (Lilford's wall lizard), 126 nucleotides. The record is from the annotation of a GenBank genome assembly. Lineage: Eukaryota; Metazoa; Chordata; Lepidosauria; Squamata; Lacertidae.